RNAcentral lists this ribosomal RNA (810 nucleotides) under Halomonas sp. RNAcentral's name for it is "bacterial SSU rRNA". It matches the Rfam family "Bacterial small subunit ribosomal RNA", at positions 557 to 1355 of the family's 1533-position model. Lineage: Bacteria; Pseudomonadati; Pseudomonadota; Gammaproteobacteria; Oceanospirillales; Halomonadaceae. The record is from RNAcentral.
GGCGUAAGCGCGGCGUAGGGCGGCUUGAUAAGCCGGUUGUGAAAGCCCCGGGCUCAACCUGGGAACGGCAUCCGGAACUGUCAGGCUAGAGUGCAGGAGAGGAAGGUAGAAUUCCCGGUGUAGCGGUGAAAUGCGUAGAGAUCGGGAGGAAUACCAGUGGAGAAGGCGGCCUUCUGGACUGACACUGACGCUGAGGUGCGAAAGCGUGGGUAGCAAACAGGAUUAGAUACCCUGGUAGUCCACGCCGUAAACGAUGUCGACUAGCCGUUGGGUCCUUCGCGGACUUUGUGGCGCAGUUAACGCGAUAAGUCGACCGCCUGGGGAGUACGGCCGCAAGGUUAAAACUCAAAUGAAUUGACGGGGGCCCGCACAAGCGGUGGAGCAUGUGGUUUAAUUCGAUGCAACGCGAAGAACCUUACCUACCCUUGACAUCCUGCGAAACCCUUCGGAGACGAAGGGGUGCCUUCGGGAGCGCAGAGACAGGUGCUGCAUGGCUGUCGUCAGCUCGUGUUUGUGAAAUGUUGGGUUAAGUCCCGUAACGAGCGCAACCCUUGUCCCUAUUUGCCAGCGAUUCGUCGGGAACUCUAGGAGACUGCCGGGUGACAAACCCGGAGGAAAGGUGGGGGACGACGUCAAGUCAUCAUGGCUCUUUACGGUAGGGGCUAACACACGUGCUAACAAUGGUCAGUUACAAAGGGUUUGGCGAAACUUUGCGAAGGUGGAGCAUCCAGGAAAGCUGAUCUCAGUCCGGAUCGAGUCUGCCACUCGACUCCGUUGAGUCGGGAUUCGCUAGUGAUCGUGAAUCCAGAA